UUUUUUUUUUUGUAGAAAAAGCAGACAUAUAACAAUGCUUUGUUUCACACCAAAGCAUUUAGAAACCUGCCCAACAUGACAACAGCAUUCAGCGUGUUAAAAUAAUCUCCUUCUAUUCAGUAAAUUGUCAUAGAUCUUAUUACCUACUGCAUCAGGUCACAUCAGGAUGUGCUGCCUGACAUGAUGUGGCACAGCGUGACAGCAACAGACACAGCAUUGCCUCCUCCCAGCACAGAGAUGUUCAUACAUUGGAUGCUCAGGCAACAACUGGUGUGGCUAUUCAAUCCUCUCUGUUGCCUGCAGUUAGGCAAAUGACCAAAUUCUCUGAAGAACCUGCAUUUAAUAGCAAAUUGUUAUUUUUGUGCUGGCUUGAGGACAGAGUUUUCUUACAGGGCACCUCUACUGCCAUUGCAUCGGAAAGUCACGCUGGGCUGUUGAGGGCUGAUGCACAGCUGAGCGCUUCAGACACAGCCCAGCAGUGAGUGUGGGAGGCAUUCACACACUGCAGGGUGCGCAAGGCCAUUCCCACUGAUUUAGGCAGUUAUAGUUCUCUACAAAAAUAUUAACAUGGCAGGUAUAAAACCAAAAGCUUCAUGGCCUGUCCACAGAUAUUGAGAGAUUUGCACUAACUUCUUAAACCAUGAUGUUAAACCAUUGCAGAAAAUAAAUUUUCUGAAAACUGGGCUAAGAGGGCACCUUUCAAAAAUAAAAAGCUUGGGAAACUCAUUGAGAUAAUGAGCUGUAGGUGAUUAACCCAAUCACUGUUGAGGUCACCAGCAGUAUUAGAGCCAUAAUCCCAUUGAUUUAGAUUAUUGUAUAGUUUUGUAUUUCAGUAACUUCUAGGUUGUAUGUUUUAUGUUAUGUCUUACUCUUGCUUGAUUGUGUGUAAGACCUCACCAGAAAUCAAGGGUGAAUAUUGCUCAAACAAAGAAGAUUGUACCUGCUCUUAUCACAUGAAGUUAUUUCCAGACUGUAAAAUUUCAGACUCUGUAAAGUUUCAGACUGUAACAUUUCUGGAAACUCUGGAGAAAUUGUGGUGAGAUUGGAAAAUAUAAAAAAAAGGGGAUCUCCUGCUGUCCUCAGGCCCUGUGUAUUUGCCUCUCCAGGCAGCGUGCGUGACUCGCUGUGCAGCUCCCUGCUGCCAGCCCUUGUUUUGUGCUCUGGAGGUCAUGAAAGGAAGUUCGUAUUUUUCUAAUCACGACCACUAGGUUCAGAGCAGGGGAAGGACAAAGAAGGGGAACCAUGGGAGCUAAUGUUAGGCUGCUGCAAUGGCUCUGAUGACUAUUUUACAUUGAAGAAUGAAUUGAGGUUUCAUAGUUGGAAGCUGGAAGAGGGUUGUGGCAGAAUUGCUCUGAAAGCCUGAGGAGACCUAGUGACUGAAUGCACAUGUAAAGCAGAGUAAAGAUGCAGUCUCCAUGGCAGCAUCUCAGAACUGUACAGUAAUAUUUUGAAAUGUAAUAUAGAUUCUAAUUUUUCAGUCUUAACCCAUCAAAUCAGUUUUACUAUAAAUACCCACGCUAUCCAGUCUCCAAAAGAACUAAGGCUGACAGUUAUUUUAAGCCUGCCCAACCAAAGACAAAAAUGCAAUUUACAUUCCCUGCCAAAAUACACUCCUUCAGUUAGGAGAACAGAAGGACUUUGGUUUUAGACAGGCAAAAUCAAGGAAAUAUAGAGAUUACAAUAUAUGAUCUCUACUUCCUCAUACAUCUAGAUUAUGGCAACCUUCAAUUGCCAAUAUCUGAAAACACUGAAACUCUGUGGGCACGUAGAUAGGAAAGCUUCUUACCAUGACUAGCUACACUACCAAUCAACUCAGGGCACAAAAGGGCUGCUGAAUCUGUCUGAAGCCACCAGUGUAUAACUCAUGAGUGCAUCUGAUACACACCAUGGUGUAUAACUCAGAGCACAUCUGAAAAAGCAGUGGCUGCUAUUUGCAGACAAAAACUACAGGCUUAAACAGACACCAAGCACUUUGCUGAUCCCACUAGUGUCUCAGUAUGUGCCUUUAUGUCUGAGGAAGCAGAUGCUGCUCCCAGGUAACUGGGAGCAUGUGAGAACACCCAAGGGAGCAAUUGAAUGUCCUCAGUGAUGGUUGUCUGGGCUCCAUAAUAACAGCUGGAUUCCAUUCAGCAUAACAGCUUGAUUGAGAAAAUAUGCUCUAAUAAAUACUAGUUGUGAUCUAUGUUUCCACCUGACUUCAUCCUCUUUUGAGGAAAUUCACAAUGAUCUUAUGAGAGCUGCUGAGAAGUUGUCAAAGUUGUUGAUUAUCAAAGAAUAGCAAGGAUGGGGAUGGUUAAUUAAGUUGUAUUGAACAGUGUGGGACCUGAGUAGGAUGUGAAUGGUAUGGAAUAAGGGGCACAAUGUGCAGGCUGGGGUAGAGUUAAUUUUCUUCACAGUAGCAAAUAUGAAGCCGUGUUUUUGAUUUGGCUGAACACAUGCUAAUACUACAGAGAUGUUUUGGGCAGGGUUUACACAGAGUCAAGGUUUUUCUGCUUUCCUGCUGCAAUGCUGGCAAGGAAGUUGGGGGUGCAUGGGAGGCUGGGAGGAGAUGCAGCUGGGACAGGUGACCCAAACUGACCAAAGGGAUAUUCCAGACCAUAUGGCAUCAUGCUCAGAAUAUAAAGUGACGGGAAGAAGGAGGGUGGUGGGGGACAUUUGGAGUGAUGGUGUUUGUCUUCCCAAGUCACCAUUACAUGUGAUAGGGCCUUGCUUUCCUGGAGAUGGCUGAACACCUGCCUGCCCAUGGGAAGCACUGAACAAAUUCCUUGUUGUACUUUGCUUGUGUGUGUGGCUUCUGCUUUCCCCACUAAACUGUCUUUAUUGCAACCCAUGAGUUUUCCAGCUUUUAUCCUUCUAAUUCUCUUCCCAGUCCUGUGGGUGUGGUAAUGAGUGAGUGUCUCUGUGGGGCUCGGUUGGCAGCUGGGGUGAAACCACGGCAAAAAUUAUAAUUGGAAAACAUGCCCUAAUUCAUCACUGUGCAAAUGUAGUUAUUAUGUAAAGAGCUAUAACUCAUUUUGAAGGUACUUGCAUUUGUGGUAUAGCUCCAUAUAUACAUGCUACUGGUCUGAAAUAUUUUCUUGAUCAUCCCAGACUAGAUUUUCUAAUACCACUCCCAUUUUCCACCUCCUGUGCAGAGCACUUGGCUAUCUUAACUCUGGACCGCUCUUACAGACUGGCUGCUUUGAACACCAGAUAUGAAAGGGUUUGGACAGACAUAAAGUAGUAAUGUUCUAUAAACAUCAUAAACCCACUCUUAUGCUCUGAUGGAAAACACUGGGCUACAAUCUGCAAGUCAGGCAUCACAGCUCAGACCCAUGCUAGAAUUAUUAAUUUAAAAAAAUUAAGAUACUUGUGGUCUUGGCAAGUUACAUAUAUUGCCAUCUGUAGUAGCAGUUACAUAAGUGGUGCCAGGAUUUCUUUAGGAAUUCAGAGCAUUUUAUUCUUUCCCAUAUCCAGAGAAACACUAAGAUGUUGCUAGCAGGUUUGUUGCUAAUUACACUUACAACUAAAGAAGAAGGAAAUAAACAAGUAUAAGAUGAGAUAAUUACAAGGAAUGUUAGAUAAAUAAGAGAAUAAUCAAUAAACAAGCUGUUCUAACAACUGUCUCUGUGGAAACUGGAAAUUCUGAUUCUCAAACAGAGAUACCAACUCAGUGAUGCAGGUGUUGUGCCAGCUUGCAAAUAACUGAGAAAGAAGGGUUUGGCAGAUACUUGCCUUUGUGAGGUACUGGGAUUCAACCCAUCUAGAAUCAAGCUGCAGCCACCUCUAGAUAAAACAUGGCAUCUGGAUAAAAAAGAGCAGAAAAUUGCACAGCUGUUUCAAGUCAGCGUGGAAAUCAUUGCCCAAAUUCAAGGACCCAGUGUUGGCCAUGAUGCUUUAGAGGAUGUUCCUUGGCCUCCCAGAGGUCCCAAGUUCUAUCUGCUGGCCCUGGGCAGGUGCUCCAGCCCACUGGCACCAUGUCCCAGGCCCCAGGUAAGGAGGCAGGAGGGGUGAAAUGCAAGUGCAUGGUGAAAAGUGAAGGGCAGCCUGAUCAUAUGGGGGGCACUGACUGGGAUGUGGGAGCAGCACAGAUAACCAGAAGCACCAGCUGAUAGCUUUCACCUGGGGAGAAAGAAGAGGAGGAGGAAGAAAGCUCAUGGUACUGCAUUUAAACGUGAGCCAAAUGCUCACCCACGGUCAUUUUCAAGCAGAAAAUUUAGAUGUGGUCUUCAGUCUUUUCUAUUUGUACCACAGAUGGUGAAUAUAUUACACAGCUUGUCCUAUUUUUCAGCUGUGCCUGUAAGUUUUCUGCACAUAUUCCUGCCUUUGCAGAGGCUCCUGGUGCAGGUGUUAAUUCUCCCCAAAACCUGAGCUGAUUGGGAGCUACACUCUUAAAAAAGGGCAAAGUGAGGAAAAGGGAGAAAAAAGGAAAAAGUGAGGCAUAUUGGAAAGUGGGAAGGUCACAAUUUCAAAAACAACUUUACGUCCCUCCUGCUUCAUAAUAAGCCCUAUUUUUAAAUUCUUCUUUCUCUACAAGGGUUGAUUCUACCUUGUUAUUUGUACAGCUUCUAGUAUCAUUAAGUACAAAUGUGGAACCCUUGGCAUUACCAUUGUAUAAAUUCUUCAAAAAAUGUUCUUAAUUAAAGACAAAAAAUAUUUUUUUCUCUCUGUUUAUAUCUUAAGAUCAUGUCUCUGACAUGUUUUAUAAUUAAAAUAUAUAAAGCAGAAACAACAAUUAAUUAGAAAAAAUUACAGGUUUAUGUCUUUCUGUAUAAAACAUUAAAAACUGUGCAACAAGCAAAGAUGUUUCAUAGUUUGAGAAAUUAUAUUUUAUUUCUUAAUCUUCAGGUCAAUCUGAAGCAUUAAUAUGCUCAGUCAGAAAAGUAGUCAACCAAAGAAAACCUUAGCUCCCACUUUAACAUUACAACCUAAAAAAGAGUAUGUUGAUUUAAAAUAAGCAGGCACACCCUAGAGGCAAGUAUGAAAUGCCACAGUUUCAUAUGGGAUUGAAUUUAAUAUGAUAAUGUCAUGUGAAAUACAAUGCAGAAAAUAUCAUUAAUAAUAAUAAUAAUUUUUUAAAACCCUUUUCUAAAAAUGCUGCCCGUUUUGUGUUUAUAUUUAUUUUAGGAAGGGAUUUAUUGUUCACAAAAGGAAAGCAGAGAAAAUUUAUUGCAGGUUUUAGUUGUGGAAAGCAUAGUGGAGAAUUUAAGGGAGACAAAUAUAUGCUUUUUUGUUGGCGGGGGCUUUUCUAAUGUGUGAAAUAUGAGCUUUGGAGAAUUGUUUAUUUUAGGACAAGUCAAGGACUGAAUCACAGGGAGACACUUUUUGUUGUGUUUUAUUCACUUCUCUCUGGAGAGCUGUCGGGGCUGGCAGGGCUCCUGCCCUGUGGCUGCUGCUGCCCUCGCUGCCGGCUGGCUCCAGCCCCACAGCGCCAGGCACCAUCGCUGUGCCACUGCCCAGCCCUGCCACUGGGCCCUCUGCUUCAUUCAUGGGGCUCAAAUGGCUCUUUUCCAGACACCAGCUGCUCCAGGCAGCUCCUCUGGGCCCCUCCAGGGACACUGGGGAUGGUGUCAGGCGCUUCCCUGUGCGUGUCCCUCUGCCCUCCUGCAAAGAGAGGAGAUGUUCCAGCCCUCUCCCUCCUGCAGCCUCCCUCUGCCCUUCUCACAAACCUCUGAUACCCCACGUGUGCCCAUCUCUGCCGCCGUGUAGCUACAGCCAAGCUCCCUUUCUGGCCACAAGAAAUUCCUCUUGCUUCCAGAUCCAUCCAGGCUUUCCUGGUGAAAUCAGUCAGUGCCCAUUGACCACAAGUUUCCUACAGACCCAGUGUGCCUGGCUCAGGCGGGUUUUGAAUUUUUGGCUUGUAUAUUCCUGCUCUGGGCUUUGGGCUCUGGGAACAGCCCAGGGAGAAUUGGCUUUGUUUGGAAUUCCAUGUCUCUGGUAGAGAUGCAGCAUUCUAGCGUUAAUUUGUUCUGCAUGAAUUUGCACAGGAGGCAAACACAGAGGUCAGAUUCUGCCACACUGAAUCAUGAGGGCCUCUUAGUUCUGCCUGCCUGCCUGCCUGCUGAUCAAGGUUAAUAAGAGCUGGCAAGCUCCAGAGGCCCAGUUACACUGCUUUAAAAUCUUUCAAAGGCAACAUGGAAUAUCAUGAGUAAAAUCGACUGUGUUGGUCUCACUGGAGCUACAUUUGCUUGCCUCAGUUGUGAGUUUAUCUAUUAAUAAACAGAUAAACUUGUUGCUGAAAUAAAUCAGCUUUUGUAGGUCAACACUGAUUUAGGCUGAAACUGCAUUUAAAGAGGGAUCAGAAGCAUUUGACUAACAGACUGCUGACUUGAGUUGCACUUUCUAUAUUGCACCUUCAAAAUCUGCAGUGCAAAGAAAGUUUUAGAAUUGAAUCAAACCUCAUUCUGCUGUAGCUGACACCAGACACCCUCGUGACAUGAGGUCUUCAGAGACCAGUCUUUCCUUCACAAUAGAGAAGUUGCAAAAAAUCUGUCAUUAAACAGAAUUCCGGCUCCAUCAAAUAAGUUUACACAGCAACUUCAGUGAUUCAGUAUCGUUCAAAAACACAGCCCUGUGCUUCACACCUGAGCUGAGCUCCUCGAGUCUGCAUUGCUGAGCUGCAGCCCAGCGACCCAGCCCAUAUUCUCACAAUGACAGCAAUGAAUUCAAGUUCAAGAGCCCCAUAUCCAUUGCCUGUGUCCUGCACCCCCAGAAGUCACAAGCCUCUAGGCUCUUGCUACUGAGGUUUUUGAUGUUUGGCUACUGCCCAUGCCUAAAAUAACUUCCUUGGUACAUGGCUGUACAUCUCCAUGCUUAUCUCACUUCUUCACUUGGAUUAGAAAUCAGAAUCUCUUCAGUUUAAUCCCCAUGAACAUCCACUGCCUGGCAGAGCUAGUACAGAUUCAUGCUGCCCUGAGGGCAGAAUAAAAUUUAGGUUGAUUAAAUUUCAAACCAGUAGCAGUUUUGCUGAGUGAAGAAUGGGGAGGAAUCAUCCACAUUUUCUAGAGAUUGUAACAACAAUUUUAGUAUUGUCUGCUUUAAAAGAAAACUCCACUGCCUGUUCUGAAAAGGAUGGCUCAGAUGUUUAGGUCCAAAGUGGGUGCUUAGCUUUGAAUGCCAGGUUUGCAUUGAAAUACCUUUCAGGGGUGAAAAUUAGAUUUCUGUCACCCCUUCUCAACAUUUCUGCCUUGGAGGAUUCUCCUCCUCAACUUACUGUCUAGCAGGAAUCCUGCUGGGAGGUGUUUCAGAGUCCCACUGCACCUCAGCAGAACCAGUCUAGUAAAGCCAGCCAGGUCUUGCAUCCAGAGGAUGGGGAAGAUAGCAACAAAAAUACCAUGUGGAAAUCCCCAACAGAGUACCUAAGGGCCAGCAGCCUUCAUCCUGACACCAAGGCAGGGCAAGAGGAUAAUUCUCUGGGCUUCAUGAGGCUGCAAGGUGUAUUUUGACCUGCUGGGCAGAAAUAGCAGCACCAAGUGGUUGCACAGCAAUGAUGCUCUGGGGGAGGGGAUUCAUGCUGCUGGGUCAGCUGCUCACCACUGACCUGCCCUCCCAGGCAGUGGGCUGCCUGUUGGCUCUCAGAUACUGAUCUAAAAGAAGGCACAUGAACCCCAAACUAUUUCAGGUUGCAGCAUUCAGAGGCGCUGCCAUCACAGCAGAGGCUCUGCAGCAAUGUCAGGUUACAGAGAGUCUGUGUGGGAGGGAGCAGGGUGCUGCUUUGCACUCAAUGUUAAUGCUUCUGCUUAGGCAUAAUCCAGCUGAAGGUCUUUUCAGUACAGCAGAGUUCACUGGAGGUCUAGCUGAGUGUGCUGGUUCAGAGGGCACUAAUGCAAUUGUGCGAUUAAUUUACGUCUGCGCUGUUGUUGCUGCGCAGGCUGCGGUCAGUGGAGAGGGGCAGCAGGCACAGCCACUGCUCCAGUGCUCCCUGUGCUCUCACCGGGAUGACUGCUGGCCUCUGAGUCACUGCCCAAGGGUAAAUAGUGAAUACUAUGAUGACACUCACGUUUGAAAGACAGUGAUGUGGAACAAACAAGGUAAUUUUUUAAUAAAUAUUUAUUUCAAGGAAACAUAUUUGGCUUAAUCCUUUUUCCACUGAUGUUGAUAAAAGUUAUGCAUUGACAAAAGGCACCGCAGCAUUUGUAAUGUAUUUUGACAUUACGAAUGUCAAUGAAAGGUUCUAAAUAAUAGCUAAGGAUUAUGUAUUCCUCAGUGGGAACAUGAGUUAGCCUGCUGGAUAAAUUAAUAAACACAUUGUUAUGUAAGUAUGGCAAAGUGCUUCUGAUGCUUCAUGAUUAAACUUGACAUGCUGACAAAAGGAAGCUGAGGAUUUGGUUCAUUUUACUUUAUUUUAUUUUACAUUUUUUAAAAUUUUGGAUUUUCAAAAAUUUGAUACUUGUAAGGCUUGCUUGGAAAACCUUCAAGUAAUUUCAGUUAAAAGGCAUGAAAUUUCCAAAUGGACAGAACUAUAUUCAGCUCUGUUUCACAGGCAGAGAAAUUGAGGCAUGCAGGAUAUCACUGAGACUUCAAUGUCAUGGGAUCUGUGAACUACAGGCUGCACCCUGGUCAUUACAAGGAGAGGGGGAUGCCUUCCCAAAUGCAUCUUGUCUUCAUCUCGCCAUUACAGUCAGUGGCAUCAAGCAUGAAGAGAGUGUCUGGCACAGCUGGAGAUGCCUCCUGAGGUCACAGCCUGUGGGUUGCUGCAGACAGCCGAGGCCCAGCUGCCCGGUUUUGCCUUAGCAUUUAAACAGGUUGCUACUCAGGAGCCAGGUGUGAAAGGCUCUACCCCUUGACUAAUACAGCAUGGUGCUUCCUGAGCUGUGGAAGAAGUGCCUGUUAUGGAUAAAGGCAAGGAAGAGCAUAGAAACAGCGAAAGGUGGUUGCAAUCCUUUUGGGGGACAUGUCAGAAGCAGAAGCAGCAAGUCCGUAUGUCCAGCCUGGAGAUUUAAUGACAGAAAUGAUGCCUUCCCUGAGUCUAGAUGAAGAAAUAUCCCUCCCCAGUCAAAAACUACAUAGAACACUGUCCAUUGCUUUGUUCUACUAGUAAACAGAUAAAAAAAUACUUUCCAACCACUUCCAGUGCAACCUUCAGUGCUUGUGGCAGUGGUUUGCUUUUCCUAUUUCCAGCACUGCAGUUGUGCUCUAAACAACUUACAAGCUUCAAAGCCUUGCUUAGAGCAUAUUUUCAAAAGCAUUAUCCUUUCACACAAUAUAUUUGUAACACAAUCAUUUUCAUAACAACUCCUGUCACAUUAUUGUAUCAAUCUCACUAAGUGAUUCCUUUGAACAGCUUCUCACACCAAUUUGAGUAAUCUCAUGAAGUUUGACUGUGCUCCUUUAUCCUCCUCUCCUUGUUCAUUUUUCCUGUUUAACCAGAGCACUUAUAGGGAGGCUGAAGCCCAGGUAAGGUGUCUUUCUUCUUCAAAGUCUUUGAAAGAGGAUAGUGAGAUACCCUUUCUGCAAACAGCAGUUUGAAUAUGUGUCUCCCAGUAACAGAAACCUCUUUUAGUUUCUUCUUUCUUGGACUCUGGCAGUGCGUCCCUUAAAAGCUGCAGCUUCUUAGCUAUUGUGAGUGCUGCCAAACAAAAGUCAUGGAGAUACAAACACCCCUAGUGAGGGCAUCUUCUUGAGGAAGGUUAAACCAAGAAAUGGCACCCAUACUUCUCCUCACGUGGAUUCAAAGCCCAGGUGGCCACCAGUCUCUCCUGUGCUUGUGCCAGGAACAGUGAGCCAUAGGUCCCUCAAACCCAGUGGGAUCUUGGUGUUCCCCAGGGUCUGCCGCUUGCCAUCAAUGAGAGAACAAGCUCAGAUUUCAUUUGAAAUCAAAUCUACAGGAUGUUUCUUGCUGUUACAGAAGACAGAAAUCUCCAGAUUACCCAGAAUAUCACAGAUCCAAACAGCUUUCUAUUUACAGUUGCUUGAUUUUGGAGGCGAGGCUGACUCAGGACUUUGUGUGCUUGACUUGGCAAAGCCCACCAGUUUGCACCAACCUCAGCCUCCGAAUAUUUGCCUGCUUCACUUCAGACAUGUAUCCCUGCAAUGCAGAUUAUAGAGAGGACACACUGUCAUUUCUUUUCUCUUGGAAAAAUAUUUUCCUUUUGUGUAGUUGAAUGGUAUCUAAAUAAACAUUAGUUGUAUUUUUGUGUCA
This is a non-coding RNA of Taeniopygia guttata (zebra finch), 10120 nucleotides long. Lineage: Eukaryota; Metazoa; Chordata; Aves; Passeriformes; Estrildidae. The record is from RefSeq and is a predicted model, not a curated record.